RNAcentral lists this small nuclear RNA (18 nucleotides) under Arabidopsis thaliana (thale cress). RNAcentral describes it as "snRNA_12606". The record is from RNAcentral. Lineage: Eukaryota; Viridiplantae; Streptophyta; Magnoliopsida; Brassicales; Brassicaceae.
GAGUCUGACAUGUGUGCG